This 429-nucleotide ribosomal RNA is filed under the name Bacteroidota bacterium. Its description in RNAcentral is "Bacteroidetes bacterium partial 16S ribosomal RNA". It matches the Rfam family "Bacterial small subunit ribosomal RNA", at positions 355 to 776 of the family's 1533-position model. Lineage: Bacteria; Pseudomonadati; Bacteroidota. The record is from RNAcentral.
UAGGGAAUCUUCCGCAAUGGACGCAAGUCUGACGGAGCAACGCCGCGUGAGUGAAGAAGGAUUUCGGUUCGGAAAACUCUGUUGUUAGAGAAGAACAGCGCAUAGAGUAACUGUUAUGCGUGUGACGGUAUCUAACCAGAAAGCCACGGCUAACUACGUGCCAGCAGCCGCGGUAAUACGUAGGUGGCAAGCGUUGUCCGGAUUUAUUGGGCGUAAAGCGAGCGCAGGCGGUCAAUUAAGUCUGAUGUGAAAGCCCCCGGCUCAACCGGGGAGGGUCAUUGGAAACUGGUUGACUUGAGUGCAGAAGAGGAGAGUGGAAUUCCAUGUGUAGCGGUGAAAUGCGUAGAUAUAUGGAGGAACACCAGUGGCGAAGGCGACUCUCUGGUCUGUAACUGACGCUGAGGCUCGAAAGCGUGGGUAGCAAACAGG